UCCUACGGGAGGCAGCAGUGAGGAAUCUUGCGCAAUGGGCGAAAGCCUGACGCACCCACGCCGCGUGCCGGAUGAAGGCCCCAUGGGUUGUAAACGGCUUUUAAGCAGGAAGAACGACCGGAUUUCGAUCUGGUGUGACGGUACUGCUUGAAUAAGCACCGGCUAACUCCGUGCCAGCAGCCGCGGUAAUACGGAGGGUGCAAGCGUUGUCCGGAAUCAUUGGGUGUAAAGGGUGCGUAGGCGGGCGUCUAAGUCUGGGGUGAAAUCUUGCCGCUUAACGGUAAAAUGGCCUUGGAUACUGGGCGUCUUGAGUGUAGAGGAGGUAAGUGGAAUUCGUAGUGUAGCGGUGAAAUGCAUAGAUAUUACGAAGAACAUCAGUGGCGAAGGCGGCUUACUGGUCUACAACUGACGCUGAGGCACUAAAGCGUGGGGAGCGAACAGGAUUAGAUACCCUGGUAGUCCACGCUGUAAACGAUGCAUACUAGGUGUUGGCCUUUCGGGGCCAGUGCUGCAGUUAACGCUUUAAGUAUGCCACCUGGGGAGUACGUCGGCUACGAUGAAACUCCAAGGAAUUGACGG
Molecule: ribosomal RNA, 579 nt
Filed under: uncultured bacterium
Lineage: Bacteria
Description: bacterial SSU rRNA
Rfam family: Bacterial small subunit ribosomal RNA
Source: RNAcentral